This 520-nucleotide ribosomal RNA is filed under the name uncultured Glomus. RNAcentral describes it as "SSU rRNA". It matches the Rfam family "Eukaryotic small subunit ribosomal RNA", at positions 569 to 1090 of the family's 1831-position model. The record is from RNAcentral. Lineage: Eukaryota; Fungi; Glomeromycota; Glomeromycetes; Glomerales; Glomeraceae.
AGCAGCCGCGGUAAUUCCAGCUCCAAUAGCGUAUAUUAAAGUUGUUGCAGUUAAAAAGCUCGUAGUUGAAUUUCGGGGUUAGUAGGUUGGUCAUGCCUCUGGUAUGUACUGGUCUCACUGAUUCCUCCUUCCUGAUGAACCUUAAUGCCAUUAAUUUGGUGUUUUGGGGAAUUUGGACUGUUACUUUGAAAAAAUUAGAGUGUUUAAAGCAAGCUAACGCUUGAAUACAUUAGCAUGGAAUAAUGAAAUAGGACGUUCGAUCCUAUUUUGUUGGUUUCUAGGAUUGACGUAAUGAUUAAUAGGGAUAGUUGGGGGCAUUAGUAUUCAAUUGUCAGAGGUGAAAUUCUUGGAUUUAUUGAAGACUAACUACUGCGAAAGCAUUUGCCAAGGAUGUUUUCAUUAAUCAAGAACGAAAGUUAGGGGAUCGAAGACGAUCAGAUACCGUCGUGGUCUUAACCAUAAACUAUGCCGACUAGGGAUCGGAUGAUGUUAAUUUUUUAAUGACUCAUUCGGCGCCUUA